This 253-nucleotide ribosomal RNA is filed under the name uncultured bacterium. RNAcentral's name for it is "partial 16S ribosomal RNA". It matches the Rfam family "Bacterial small subunit ribosomal RNA", at positions 524 to 776 of the family's 1533-position model. The record is from RNAcentral.
UACGUAGGGUGCAAGCGUUAAUCGGAAUUACUGGGCGUAAAGCGUGCGCAGGCGGUUUUGUAAGACAGAUGUGAAAUCCUCGGGCUUAACCUGAGAACUGCAUUUGUGACUGCAAAGCUGGAGUACGGCAGAGGGGGAUGGAAUUCCGCGUGUAGCAGUGAAAUGCGUAGAUAUGCGGAGGAACACCGAUGGCGAAGGCAAUCCCCUGGGCCUGUACUGACGCUCAUGCACGAAAGCGUGGGGAGCAAACAGG